CCCUUAGAUGUUCUGGGCCGCACGCGUGCUACACUGAGUGGAUCAGCGGGUCAGGUUGCGCGAAAGCGUUUCCUAAUCUUUAAAUCCGCUCGUGAUGGAGAUUGACGGUUGCAAUUUUCUGUCAUGAACGAGGAAUACCUUGUAAGCGCGGGUCAUCAUCCCGCGCUGAAUACGUCCCUGCCCUUUGUACACACCGCCCGUCGCUCCUACCGAUUGAGUGGUCCGGUGAGGCUUUGGGAUCUGAGCGGAAAGAGCGUUUCGCUGUUUCUGCUCGGAAAACUCAGUCGAACCUUAUCAUUUAGAGGAAGGAGAAGUCGCAACA
This 322-nucleotide ribosomal RNA is filed under the name uncultured eukaryote. RNAcentral's name for it is "partial 18S ribosomal RNA". It matches the Rfam family "Eukaryotic small subunit ribosomal RNA", at positions 1470 to 1796 of the family's 1831-position model. The record is from RNAcentral.